AGAGUUUGAUCCUGGCUCAGGACGAACGCUGGCGGCGUGCUUAACACAUGCAAGUCUACGAGAACGAGGUAGCAAUAUCUUUAGUAAAGUGGCGCACGGGUGCGUAACACGUAAGCAAUCUACCUUUGGGUCUGGAAUAACUUCGAGAAAUCGAGGCUAAUACCGGAUAAUGCAGCGGCACCGCAUGGUGAUGUUGUUAAAGUUUAAGUAAUGCCUAUAGAUGAGCUUGCGUCUGAUUAGCUAGUUGGUAGGGUAAAGGCCUACCAAGGCUACGAUCAGUAGCUGGUCUGAGAGGAUGAUCAGCCACACUGGAACUGAGACACGGUCCAGACUCCUACGGGAGGCAGCAGUGAGGAAUAUUGGGCAAUGCCCGCAAGGGUGACCCAGCAACGCCGCGUGGAGGAUGAAGGCCGUAAGGUUGUAAACUCCUGUUAGAGGAGAAGAGUAGUACCGAUUGGAUCGGUAUUUGACUGUACCCUCAGAGAAAGCCCCGGCUAACUACGUGCCAGCAGCCGCGGUAAUAC
This 524-nucleotide ribosomal RNA is filed under the name uncultured bacterium. RNAcentral describes it as "bacterial SSU rRNA". It matches the Rfam family "Bacterial small subunit ribosomal RNA", at positions 8 to 526 of the family's 1533-position model. The record is from RNAcentral.